This 60-nucleotide ribosomal RNA is filed under the name Plasmodium malariae. The record is from RNAcentral. Lineage: Eukaryota; Apicomplexa; Aconoidasida; Haemosporida; Plasmodiidae.
CCUUCAUAUAUACUAUGCUGACUUGAGUAAUGAUAAAUUGUUAGUAUCAGCUAUCUAUAG